Nyctereutes procyonoides (raccoon dog) is the source of this 230-nucleotide long non-coding RNA. RefSeq lists it as uncharacterized. NCBI's taxonomy places the organism in Eukaryota, Metazoa, Chordata, Mammalia, Carnivora, Canidae. The record is from RefSeq and is a predicted model, not a curated record. The transcript has 3 exons.
ACAUUUUUGUUCUGGAACAUGGAAGGAAUCAACAGUUUCCAUAUGUCUCCCCAGCUACACAGCAAAUUCCUCAAGGGUUGAAGCCACAUGGCAUUCCUCUUUGAAACCCCAGUGCUGACACAUAGUAAGCAUUCCGGUGGCUACUACAGCGUUUGGCAGAGAGUAAACUCAAGGAGAUACAUCAAUCUAAAUACAGGUGAGAGGGCCCAGACCUUCCUGGAUGUCCCGCC